RNAcentral lists this ribosomal RNA (761 nucleotides) under uncultured Microbacteriaceae bacterium. Its description in RNAcentral is "bacterial SSU rRNA". It matches the Rfam family "Bacterial small subunit ribosomal RNA", at positions 574 to 1335 of the family's 1533-position model. Lineage: Bacteria; Bacillati; Actinomycetota; Actinomycetes; Micrococcales; Microbacteriaceae. The record is from RNAcentral.
GGCGGUUUGUCGCGUCUGCUGUGAAAACCCGAGGCUCAACCUCGGGCCUGCAGUGGGUACGGGCAGACUAGAGUGCGGUAGGGGAGAUUGGAAUUCCUGGUGUAGCGGUGGAAUGCGCAGAUAUCAGGAGGAACACCAAUGGCGAAGGCAGAUCUCUGGGCCGUAACUGACGCUGAGGAGCGAAAGCAUGGGGAGCGAACAGGAUUAGAUACCCUGGUAGUCCAUGCCGUAAACGUUGGGAACUAGAUGUGGGGACCAUUCCACGGUCUCCGUGUCGCAGCUAACGCAUUAAGUUCCCCGCCUGGGGAGUACGGCCGCAAGGCUAAAACUCAAAGGAAUUGACGGGGGCCCGCACAAGCGGCGGAGCAUGCGGAUUAAUUCGAUGCAACGCGAAGAACCUUACCAAGGCUUGACAUAUAGAGGAAACGUCUGGAAACAGUCGCCCCGCAAGGUCUCUAUACAGGUGGUGCAUGGUUGUCGUCAGCUCGUGUCGUGAGAUGUUGGGUUAAGUCCCGCAACGAGCGCAACCCUCGUCCUAUGUUGCCAGCACGUAAUGGUGGGAACUCAUGGGAUACUGCCGGGGUCAACUCGGAGGAAGGUGGGGAUGACGUCAAAUCAUCAUGCCCCUUAUGUCUUGGGCUUCACGCAUGCUACAAUGGCCGGUACAAAGGGCUGCAAUACCGCAAGGUGGAGCGAAUCCCAAAAAGCCGGUCUCAGUUCGGAUUGAGGUCUGCAACUCGACCUCAUGAAGUCGGAGUCGC